This 228-nucleotide ribosomal RNA is filed under the name uncultured eukaryote. Its description in RNAcentral is "partial small subunit ribosomal RNA". It matches the Rfam family "Eukaryotic small subunit ribosomal RNA", at positions 587 to 819 of the family's 1831-position model. The record is from RNAcentral.
AGCUCCAAUAGCGUAUAUUAAAGUUGUUGCGGUUAAAAAGCUCGUAGUUGGAUUUCUGGAAAGGACGACCGGUCCACCCUCUGGGUGAGCACAUGGUUCGGCUUGGCCAUAUUCUUGGGAAACGCUGCUGCGCUUUAUUGUGUGGGGUGGUACUCAAGACUUUUACUUUGAGGAAAUUGGAGUGUUUCAAGCAGGCGCACGCCCUGAACACAUUAGCAUGGAAUAAUA